GUCGCUUCUCGGCUCUCUGAGCUAAGAUCAUGUGUAGUAUCUGUUCUUUGCAGUGUAAUUUCUGCAACGGUCUCUAAACUGAGACCAAUGAAAUUACCUGUAUUUUUCUUGUGAGGACGGGUGCUGUGAGCUUGCUCAACCCCGUCCACGGGUCGGCCUCGUAUUGCAUUACAAAUACGUAUCACAAUAAAUGACUU
Molecule: small nuclear RNA, 197 nt
Filed under: Schistosoma japonicum
Lineage: Eukaryota; Metazoa; Platyhelminthes; Trematoda; Strigeidida; Schistosomatidae
Description: U2 spliceosomal RNA
Rfam family: U2 spliceosomal RNA
About the family: U2 is a small nuclear RNA (snRNA) component of the spliceosome (involved in pre-mRNA splicing). Complementary binding between U2 snRNA (in an area lying towards the 5' end but 3' to hairpin I) and the branchpoint sequence (BPS) of the intron results the bulging out of an unpaired adenosine, on the BPS, which initiates a nucleophilic attack at the intronic 5' splice site, thus starting the first of two transesterification reactions that mediate splicing.
Source: Rfam by way of RNAcentral